RNAcentral lists this ribosomal RNA (504 nucleotides) under uncultured bacterium. RNAcentral describes it as "bacterial SSU rRNA". It matches the Rfam family "Bacterial small subunit ribosomal RNA", at positions 9 to 526 of the family's 1533-position model. The record is from RNAcentral.
GAGUUUGAUCCUGGCUCAGGACGAACGCUGGCGGCGCGCCUAACACAUGCAAGUCGAACGAGCGAGAGAGAGCUUGCUUUCUCGAGCGAGUGGCGAACGGGUGAGUAACGCGUGAGGAACCUGCCUCAAAGAGGGGGACAACAGUUGGAAACGACUGCUAAUACCGCAUAAGCCCACGGGUCGGCAUCGAGCAGAGGGAAAAGGAGCAAUCCGCUUUGAGAUGGCCUCGCGUCCGAUUAGCUAGUUGGUGAGGUAACGGCCCACCAAGGCGACGAUCGGUAGCCGGACUGAGAGGUUGAACGGCCACAUUGGGACUGAGACACGGCCCAGACUCCUACGGGAGGCAGCAGUGGGGAAUAUUGCACAAUGGGGGAAACCCUGAUGCAGCGACGCCGCGUGGAGGAAGAAGGUCUUCGGAUUGUAAACUCCUGUUGUUGGGGAAGAUAAUGACGGUACCCAACAAGGAAGUGACGGCUAACUACGUGCCAGCCGCCGCGGUAAUAC